Molecule: transfer RNA, 73 nt
Filed under: Bos taurus (domestic cattle)
Lineage: Eukaryota; Metazoa; Chordata; Mammalia; Artiodactyla; Bovidae
Also listed under: 1 other name
Rfam family: tRNA
About the family: Transfer RNA (tRNA) molecules are approximately 80 nucleotides in length. Their secondary structure includes four short double-helical elements and three loops (D, anti-codon, and T loops).
Source: Rfam by way of RNAcentral
UCCCUGGUGGUUCAAUGGUUAAGAUGCUACACUCCCAAUGCAGGGGACCUGGGUUCAAUCCCUGGUCCAGGAA